This 82-nucleotide non-coding RNA is filed under the name Citrobacter sedlakii. RNAcentral's name for it is "Peptidase-S11 RNA". It matches the Rfam family "Peptidase-S11 RNA". Rfam says of the family: Enterobacteria. Environment (Termite gut, fungus grower) Lineage: Bacteria; Pseudomonadati; Pseudomonadota; Gammaproteobacteria; Enterobacterales; Enterobacteriaceae. The record is from RNAcentral.
GCUAUGAUUCUUUCGCUAGCUUAAGUAAAUUCUCACUCAAGCGGUGCGUGUUAUCACACGUGUGAAUCAUUUUCUGAAAUCU